CCUACGGGUGGCAGCAGUGAGGAAUAUUGGUCAAUGGGCGUAACCCUGAACCAGCCAAGUCGCGUGAGGGAUGAAGGUUCUAUGGAUCGUAAACUUCUUUUAUAUGGGAAUAAAGUGUAGGACGUGUCCUGUUUUGCAUGUACCUUAUGAAUAAGGAUCGGCUAACUCCGUGCCAGCAGCCGCGGUAAUACGGAGGAUCCGAGCGUUAUCCGGAUUUAUUGGGUUUAAAGGGUGCGUAGGCGGCCUUUUAAGUCAGCGGUGAAAGUGUGUGGCUCAACCGUAGAAUUGCAGUUGAAACUGGGAGGCUUGAGUAUAGUAGAGGCAGGCGGAAUGCGUGGUGUAGCGGUGAAAUGCUUAGAUAUCACGAAGAACCCCGAUUGCGAAGGCAGCCUGC
Molecule: ribosomal RNA, 394 nt
Filed under: uncultured bacterium
Lineage: Bacteria
Description: partial 16S ribosomal RNA
Rfam family: Bacterial small subunit ribosomal RNA
Source: RNAcentral